UUAAGCGACUAAGCGUACACGGUGGAUGCCCUGGCAGUCAGAGGCGAUGAAGGGCGUGCUAAUCUGCGAUAAGCGCCGGUAAGGUGAUAUGAACCGUUAUAACCGGCGAUACCCGAAUGGGGAAACCCAGUGUGAUUCGUCACACUAUCAUUAACUGAAUCCAUAGGUUAAUGAGGCGAACCGGGGGAACUGAAACAUCUAAGUACCCCGAGGAAAAGAAAUCAACCGAGAUUCCCCCAGUAGCGGCGAGCGAACGGGGAGGAGCCCAGAGCCUGAAUCAGCAUGUGUGUUAGUGGAAGCGUCUGGAAAGGUGCGCGAUACAGGGUGACAGCCCCGUACACAAAAGCGCAUGUGCUGUGAGCUCGAUGAGUAGGGCGGGACACGUGGUAUCCUGUCUGAAUAUGGGGGGACCAUCCUCCAAGGCUAAAUACUCCUGACUGACCGAUAGUGAACCAGUACCGUGAGGGAAAGGCGAAAAGAACCCCGGCGAGGGGAGUGAAAAAGAACCUGAAACCGUGUACGUACAAGCAGUGGGAGCCCCACCACUAAGCCAGUGGUGAACUCCACAUCCGCAUCCUUUGCUGAGGAUACGGUUAACGGAGCGAAAGCGACGUUCAACCGCAAAACAAGCAGAGGGGGCUUAGUGGUGGGGUGACUGCGUACCUUUUGUAUAAUGGGUCAGCGACUUAUAUUCUGUAGCAAGGUUAACCGAAUAGGGGAGCCGGAGGGAAACCGAGUCUUAAUUGGGCGUUAAGUUGCAGGGUAUAGACCCGAAACCCGGUGAUCUAGCCAUGGGCAGGUUGAAGGUUGGGUAACACUAACUGGAGGACCGAACCGACUAAUGUUGAAAAAUUAGCGGAUGACCUGUGGCUGGGGGUGAAAGGCCAAUCAAACCGGGAGAUAGCUGGUUCUCCCCGAAAGCUAUUUAGGUAGCGCCUCGUGAAUUCAUCUCCGGGGGUAGAGCACUGUUUUGGCUAGGGGGCCAUCCCGGCUUACCAACCCGAUGCAAACUGCGAAUACCGGAGAAUGUUAUCACGGGAGACACACGGCGGGUGCUAACGUCCGUCGUGAAGAGGGAAACAACCCAGACCGCCAGCUAAGGUCCCAAAGUCAUGGUUAAGUGGGAAACGAUGUGGGAAGGCCCAGACAGCCAGGAUGUUGGCUUAGAAGCAGCCAUCAUUUAAAGAAAGCGUAAUAGCUCACUGGUCGAGUCGGCCUGCGCGGAAGAUGUAACGGGGCUAAACCAUGCACCGAAGCUGCGGCAGCGAACGUAUCACUUAAAGCGAUUCAGCGGGUUACGAUUGACGGAGCGAAGCGACGUCAAAGCGUAUACAAAGUCGAGUCGGUUUAAGGAUACGUUCGUUGGGUAGGGGAGCGUUCUGUAAGCCCGUGAAGGUGGCCUGUGAGGGUUGCUGGAGGUAUCAGAAGUGCGAAUGCUGACAUAAGUAACGAUAAAGCGGGUGAAAAGCCCGCUCGCCGGAAGACCAAGGGUUCCUGUCCAACGUUAAUCGGGGCAGGGUGAGUCGACCCCUAAGGCGAGGCCGAAAGGCGUAGUCGAUGGGAAACGGGUUAAUAUUCCCGUACUUGGUGUUACUGCGAAGGGGGGACGGAGAAGGCUAUGUUGGCCGGGCGACGGUUGUCCCGGUUUAAGCGUGUAGGUGUGUGUUCCAGGUAAAUCCGGUUCACUUUAACACUGAGGCGUGAUGACGAGGCACUACGGUGCUGAAGCAACAAAUGCCCUGCUUCCAGGAAAAGCCUCUAAGCAUCAGGUAACAUCAAAUCGUACCCCAAACCGACACAGGUGGUCAGGUAGAGAAUACCAAGGCGCUUGAGAGAACUCGGGUGAAGGAACUAGGCAAAAUGGUGCCGUAACUUCGGGAGAAGGCACGCUGACACGUAGGUGAAGUGAUUUACUCACGGAGCUGAAGUCAGUCGAAGAUACCAGCUGGCUGCAACUGUUUAUUAAAAACACAGCACUGUGCAAACACGAAAGUGGACGUAUACGGUGUGACGCCUGCCCGGUGCCGGAAGGUUAAUUGAUGGGGUCAGCGCAAGCGAAGCUCCUGAUCGAAGCCCCGGUAAACGGCGGCCGUAACUAUAACGGUCCUAAGGUAGCGAAAUUCCUUGUCGGGUAAGUUCCGACCUGCACGAAUGGCGUAAUGAUGGCCAGGCUGUCUCCACCCGAGACUCAGUGAAAUUGAACUCGCUGUGAAGAUGCUGUGUACCCGCGGCAAGACGGAAAGACCCCGUGAACCUUUACUAUAGCUUGACACUGAACAUUGAGCCUUGAUGUGUAGGAUAGGUGGGAGGCUUUGAAGUGUGGACGCCAGUCUGCAUGGAGCCGACCUUGAAAUACCACCCUUUAAUGUUUGAUGUUCUAACGUGGACCCGUAAUCCGGGUUGCGGACAGUGUCUGGUGGGUAGUUUGACUGGGGCGGUCUCCUCCUAAAGAGUAACGGAGGAGCACGAAGGUUGGCUAAACCUGGUCGGACAUCAGGGGGGUAGUGCAAUGGCAUAAGCCAUGUUGACUUCGAGCGUGACGGUGCGGGCAGGUGCGAAAGCAGGUCAUAGUGAUCCGGUGG
This 2582-nucleotide ribosomal RNA is filed under the name Salmonella enterica subsp. enterica serovar Typhimurium. RNAcentral's name for it is "bacterial LSU rRNA". It matches the Rfam family "Bacterial large subunit ribosomal RNA", at positions 1 to 2426 of the family's 2925-position model. Lineage: Bacteria; Pseudomonadati; Pseudomonadota; Gammaproteobacteria; Enterobacterales; Enterobacteriaceae. The record is from RNAcentral.